UUAUUAAUAACCCCAAAAACACUCACACAAAUAAUUAAACCAUUUUUCCUCCCAAGUAUGGGCGACAAAAAAGGAAACACCUUUAGAGCUAUAGAAAAAGUACCGCAAGGGAACGCUGAAAAAGAAAUGAAAUAAACCAGUAAAGUUAAAAAAAGCAGAGACUUACACUCGUACCUUUUGCAUCAUGAAUUAGUCAGUAAAAUUAAGCAAAAAGUAUUUUAGUUUAAUACCCCGAAACUAAGGGAGCUACUCCAAGACAGCCUAAAAGUCAGGGCCAACCCGUCUCUGUGGCAAAAGAGUGGGAUGAGCUUAGAGUAGAGGUGACAGACCUACCGAACUUAGUUAUAGCUGGUUGCUUGAGAAAUGAAUAGGAGUUCAGCUUUCUGAUUUCUUCUUUCUAACACUGCUUCAGCCUAAGCUGACUCAAAGAAAUCAAAAAAGUUAAUUAAAGGGGGUACAGCCCCUUUAAAAAAGAUACAACUUCACCAGAUGGGUACAGAUCAUAUUUAUCAAGGCAAAAUGUUUUAGUGGGCCUAAAAGCAGCCAUCUAUUAGAAAGCGUUAAAGCUCCUUCGUACCACCACCCCUCAAUUCAGAUAUCACAUCUAAACCCACCAGCCCUAUCAAGCCGCCCCAUACAUAUGGGGGUGAUUAUGCUAAUAUGAGUAAUAAGAAAAUAGAUUUUCUCCUUGCACUUGUGUAAAUCGAAACGGACUCUCCAUCGAACCUUAAUUCGGCCCCAAAAAAAGAGGGUAAUGAAUCAUAACUUUAGUAUCAAGAAAAACACCCAAAAAACAACCGUUAAUCCCACACUGGUGUGCUUACCAGGAAAGACUAAAAGAAAAAGAAGGAACUCGGCAAACACAAACCUCGCCUGUUUACCAAAAACACCGCCUCUUGCAAACAAAGAAUAAGAGGUCC
RNAcentral lists this ribosomal RNA (920 nucleotides) under Betta bellica (slender betta). RNAcentral's name for it is "partial 16S ribosomal RNA". The stretch from base 153 to 920 matches the Rfam family "Bacterial large subunit ribosomal RNA", at positions 568 to 1846 of the family's 2925-position model. The record is from RNAcentral. Lineage: Eukaryota; Metazoa; Chordata; Actinopteri; Anabantiformes; Osphronemidae.